This 96-nucleotide microRNA precursor is filed under the name Beta vulgaris subsp. vulgaris (sugar beet). Its description in RNAcentral is "pre miRNA mir-598". The record is from RNAcentral. Lineage: Eukaryota; Viridiplantae; Streptophyta; Magnoliopsida; Caryophyllales; Amaranthaceae.
GCAUGACGCCGACAUCGAGCAUGACGCCGACAUCGAGCAUGACGCCGACAUCGAGCGGCGUCAUGCUCGAUGACGGCGUCAUGCUCGAUGUCGGCG